GUUCUACAUCCAACAUUCUUCUUUAGUAGAUCAACAAUCUUCUUACAAUCGGACUCGACCAUCAAUGGACCAAUCCUCAAAUCAAGCGCCUUUUGCAAUCCAAAUUGAAUCGCUUUACCUUCUGCAAUGGUUGCGUCUCAGCAAACGUUCUCAAUUCUUAUGGCAUCAACCACAACUAACCCGUUCCAGUCUCACACAAUACAUCCGAGACCAGUACCUCUGCUGGG
RNAcentral lists this long non-coding RNA (227 nucleotides) under Linum usitatissimum (flax). Its description in RNAcentral is "long non-coding RNA (LUSI_LNC004025)". Lineage: Eukaryota; Viridiplantae; Streptophyta; Magnoliopsida; Malpighiales; Linaceae. The record is from RNAcentral.